RNAcentral lists this ribosomal RNA (495 nucleotides) under uncultured bacterium. Its description in RNAcentral is "partial 16S ribosomal RNA". It matches the Rfam family "Bacterial small subunit ribosomal RNA", at positions 28 to 507 of the family's 1533-position model. The record is from RNAcentral.
GACGAACGCUGGCGGCGUGCCUAAUACAUGCAAGUCGAACGCUGAAGGAGGAGCUUGCUACUCCGGAUGAGUUGCGAACGGGUGAGUAACGCGUAGGUAACCUGCCUGGUAGCGGGGGAUAACUAUUGGAAACGAUAGCUAAUACCGCAUAAGAGUAGAUGUCGCAUGACAUUUGCUUAAAAGGUGCAACUGCACCACUACCAGAUGGACCUGCGUUGUAUUAGCUAGUUGGUGAGGUAACGGCUCACCAAGGCAACGAUACAUAGCCGACCUGAGAGGGUGAUCGGCCACACUGGGACUGAGACACGGCCCAGACUCCUACGGGAGGCAGCAGUAGGGAAUCUUCGGCAAUGGACGGAAGUCUGACCGAGCAACGCCGCGUGAGUGAAGAAGGUUUUCGGAUCGUAAAGCUCUGUUGUAAGAGAAGAACGAGUGUGAGAGUGGAAAGUUCACACUGUGACGGUAUCUUACCAGAAAGGGACGGCUAACUACGUG